AUGCCGCUCCACCUGCUGCUCCUCCUCCUGCUCCUGCCGUCCGCCGCCGUGGCCGGCAAGGCCCGCCAGUCCUCCUCCUUCGCCCUCGAUUUCUUCCCUGGCGACGGCGCCAUCGCGCAGCUCGCUCUCACCGGCGCCAACGCCACCUCCGCCGGCGACAUCUCCAUGCGCUCCCCGCGCGCCCGGGUACAGUACCACAAACCCAUCCACUUGGCCCCCGUCGCCACCGGCUUCUCAACCUACUUCUCCUUCUCUCUCCACCCUAGCCCCAAAUCUCACGCCGCCUCCAUCGCCUUCUUCCUAACGCCCGCCGCGCCCUCGCCCGCCGUUAACGCCCUCGCCGUCGUCUUCGCCGCCGCGGACUCCAGCCACAUCCGAGUCCAAAUCGACCUCGCCGGUGAAACGGCCGCCCAGACCGCCCCCCGCGGCAUCCCCAAAAAGCUGCAUUCAUGGAUAGACUACAACGCCACAUCCGCCACGCUCCAGGUCCGUCUCUCUGCCUCGCGCCUCCCCAAGCCGCCGCGCGCGCUGCUCUCCCACCCGCUCCAUCUCCACUCCGCCCUCCUCCUCCGCAGCACCAAGCCCAUGCUCGCCGGAUUCGCAUCCUCCCACGCCAACUGCAGCCUCUUCAGCUGGGCCUUCAGGGCCAACCACGGGCCUCCCUACCUCAUGCACUCCCAGCCACUCAAUCCCACCGGCUUAUCGCUCACCACGCCGCUGCCACACCGCCUCCCCCGCGCUCCCCCGGGCAACCGCUACCCCUGGGUUUCGCUGCUGUUGGCGGCCGCGUGCGGCGCCGUCUUCACAUUCGUCGUGCUCUUCGUCUGGUACUCCAUGGGGAAGCGCCGCCCGGUCGCGCCGGUGGAGUACCCCAUGCACCCGUCCUCCUCCGACAUCGUCUACGAGAAGAUUGUGCUGGUCGGAGUCAAGGACCUCCCUGCCGAUGUCACCGCAGCUGCUCACAAGUAG
This 969-nucleotide ribosomal RNA is filed under the name Triticum aestivum (bread wheat). RNAcentral's name for it is "partial small subunit ribosomal RNA". Lineage: Eukaryota; Viridiplantae; Streptophyta; Magnoliopsida; Poales; Poaceae. The record is from RNAcentral.